Molecule: long non-coding RNA, 1185 nt
Organism: Cyanistes caeruleus (blue tit)
Lineage: Eukaryota; Metazoa; Chordata; Aves; Passeriformes; Paridae
Source: RefSeq, a predicted model, not a curated record
GGAAAAGAAAAUGUGCAAAACAGUGCAAGAAGCAGCAUCUCCUCCGCUGCAGAGUCUUCUCUCAGCAGACAGGCAGGCUGCACGCUCACAUUGGAAACUGCAAAACAAAGAAGAGAAACUCACAGGCACACAUUCUGGAGUGCCUAAGGACUAUUUCUGUUCCUGCCAACCUGCUCCCAGCCAGCACAAUAACGAAGGCAUGCUGCUGUGGAAGGUCCCAUACAUGCCACCGCGUUUUGCAGAUGGGGCAUUUGCCAUCGCAGUUUCAUAUCCUGCCAUUUUUCUGCCUGGUUCAUCCAUGUUCUAGAGUACAAGAAAGUGAGAAUACUGUGGAAGUAAAUCUUCACCUGUGGUAGAUUGCUAGUUAAACUGGUUAAGCACUGGUCUGAUUUUGUAAGUUGUUCCACAUGAGCAAGUGGAGGGGCUGCAGCCAGCAGGGAGCGAGGCUUGGCUGCAUGUGGUGGUGGGGGCUUUCCUGCAGGGUGACAAGUCUGAGGCCUGAAUUUCUCAAGAAUAAAUUUCCUUCUCACCAUUCCUAUAUGGGCUCUAGAAAGUGUGUGGUGGCUGUUUUCUGAGAGGAGCUUUACUGACAGUUGGGAGUUGUCAGUAACCAUGUGGAUUUCAAGCUCUCAGUCUGGCUACGAUGCGAAAAACCCUCUGACACAGAAUUUCCACAGAGCCACAGAAUAUGAGGCUGGAAAGACCCAGAGUGCUCAUGCAGCUAACCUCCCACCUAGCCAACCCAGAGCUGUUUGAACCUGACCUGCACGGAAUUUAGUGUUCUCCAAAUCAAGCCAUCUGCACAUAAUGACAUCAGAAGAUGAAGUUCUGUUUGCCACAGAGAACUGCAUUUGCACCCCAGAAUGCUACAGCUGUGAAGGUGGAAGGUAUUAGAGCACCAUGUGAGCAAAUCUUUGUGCUAAUGAAAGUACUGCACCAACAUUAACAUCAGGCUGAACAAGCAGAAUUUUUUUCUUUAUUAGUUAAUACCCCAAAGCCCCAAACAAUCACUAAAAGAAUAGACUCUUUUGAAUGAAAGUCACACAUUAACUUUACGUUUUAUGUUUUCUCCCGCACCAGCUGAAGGUUUGUUGUUGUUGUUUUUUUUUUUUUCUUUUCCCAUUAAUUCCUUUGACCAUGUUUUUGUGUAAAAGAGCUGAAGUAAAGUUGGUGGGUUUUUUUUUG